GCCUCUGUAGCUCAGUUGGUUAGAGCGCUGCACCGGAAUCGCAGGGCCGUAGGUUCAAUUCCUACCCGAGGAC
Molecule: transfer RNA, 73 nt
Filed under: Paramuricea clavata
Lineage: Eukaryota; Metazoa; Cnidaria; Anthozoa; Malacalcyonacea; Plexauridae
Rfam family: tRNA
About the family: Transfer RNA (tRNA) molecules are approximately 80 nucleotides in length. Their secondary structure includes four short double-helical elements and three loops (D, anti-codon, and T loops). Further hydrogen bonds mediate the characteristic L-shaped molecular structure. tRNAs have two regions of fundamental functional importance: the anti-codon, which is responsible for specific mRNA codon recognition, and the 3' end, to which the tRNAs corresponding amino acid is attached (by aminoacyl-tRNA synthetases). tRNAs cope with the degeneracy of the genetic code in two manners: having more than one tRNA (with a specific anti-codon) for a particular amino acid; and 'wobble' base-pairing, i.e. permitting non-standard base-pairing at the 3rd anti-codon position.
Source: Rfam by way of RNAcentral